This 659-nucleotide ribosomal RNA is filed under the name bacterium HN8-B-10. Its description in RNAcentral is "bacterial SSU rRNA". It matches the Rfam family "Bacterial small subunit ribosomal RNA", at positions 338 to 974 of the family's 1533-position model. The record is from RNAcentral.
CCUACGGGAGGCAGCAGUAGGGAAUCUUCCGCAAUGGACGAAAGUCUGACGGAGCAACGCCGCGUGAGUGAUGAAGGCUUUCGGGUCGUAAAACUCUGUUGUUAGGGAAGAACAAGGUACGAGGAGUAAGCUGCUCGUACCUUUGACGGUACCUAAUCCAGAAAGCCACGGCUAACUACGUGCCAGCAGCCGCGGUAAUACGUAGGUGGUCAAGCGUUAUCCGGUAAUUAUUGGUGCGUAAAGCGCGCGCAGGCGGUUUCUUAAGUCUGAUGUGAAAGCCCACGGCUCAACCCGUGGAGGGUCAUUGGAAACUGGGGAACUUGAGUGCAGAAGAGAAAAGCGGAAUUCCACGUGUAGCGGUGAAAUGCGUAGAGAUGUGGAGGAACACCAGUGGCGAAGGCGGCUUUUUGGUCUGUAACUGACGCUGAGGCGCGAAAGCGUGGGGAGCAAACAGGAUUAGAUACCCUGGUAGUCCACGCCGUAAACGAUGAGUGCUAAGUGUUAGAGGGUUUCCGCCCUUUAGUGCUGCAGCUAACGGCAUUAAGCACUCCGCCUGGGGAGUACGGUCGCAAGUACUGAAACUCAAAGGAAUUGACGGGGGCCCGCACAAGUCGGUGGGAGCAUGGUGGUUUAAUUUGAAGCAACGCGAAGAACCUUAC